RNAcentral lists this ribosomal RNA (203 nucleotides) under uncultured bacterium. Its description in RNAcentral is "partial 16S ribosomal RNA". It matches the Rfam family "Bacterial small subunit ribosomal RNA", at positions 150 to 353 of the family's 1533-position model. The record is from RNAcentral.
CUGGAAACGGUAGCUAAUACCGCAUAACGUCGCAAGACCAAAGAGGGGGACCUUCGGGCCUCUUGCCAUCGGAUGUGCCCAGAUGGGAUUAGCUAGUAGGUGGGGUAACGGCUCACCUAGGCGACGAUCCCUAGCUGGUCUGAGAGGAUGACCAGCCACACUGGAACUGAGACACGGUCCAGACUCCUACGGGAGGCAGCAUG